UUAAGCGAAUAAGCGUACACGGUGGAUGCCUAGGCAAUCAGAGGCGAUGAAGGACGUGCUAAUCUGCGAUAAGCGUCGGUAAGGUGAUAUGAACCGUUAUACCCGACGAUUUCCGAAUGGGGAAACCCAAUAUCCCAUGGAUAUUAUCCUGACAUGAAUACAUAGUGUUAGGAAGCGAACCGGGAGAACUGAAACAUCUCAGUACCCCGAGGAAAAGAAAUCAACCGAGAUUCCCCUAGUAGCGGCGAGCGAACGGGGAACAGCCCAGAGUCUUAAUCAAUAGCAGCAUCAGGAGAACGGUCUGGAAAGUCCGGCAGUAAAGGGUGAUAGCCCCGUAUCCGAAGAUGCUGUUAUUGUGAACUCGACGAGUAGGGCGGGACACGUGUUAUCCUGUCUGAAUAUGGGGGGACCAUCCUCCAAGGCUAAAUACUCCUGAUUGACCGAUAGUGAACCAGUACCGUGAGGGAAAGGCGAAAAGAACCCCGGCGAGGGGAGUGAAAAAGAACCUGAAACCGUGUACGUACAAGCAGUAGGAGCCUCUUUAUGGGGUGACUGCGUACCUUUUGUAUAAUGGGUCAGCGACUUAUAUUCUGUAGCAAGGUUAACCGUAUAGGGGAGCCGUAGGGAAACCGAGUCUUAACUGGGCGAAUGAGUUGCAGGGUAUAGACCCGAAACCCGGUGAUCUAUCCAUGGGCAGGUUGAAGGUUGGGUAACACUAACUGGAGGACCGAACCGACUAAUGUUGAAAAAUUAGCGGAUGACUUGUGGAUGGGGGUGAAAGGCCAAUCAAACCGGGAGAUAGCUGGUUCUCCCCGAAAGCUAUUUAGGUAGCGCCUCGUGAACUCAUCUUCGGGGGUAGAGCACUGUUUCGACUAGGGGGUCAUCCCGACUUACCAACUCGAUGCAAACUGCGAAUACCGAAGAAUGUUAUCACGGGAGACACACGGCGGGUGCUAACGUCCGUCGUGAAGAGGGAAACAACCCAGACCGCCAGCUAAGGUCCCAAAGUCAUGGUUAAGUGGGAAACGAAGUGGGAAGGCUCAGACAGCCAGGAUGUUGGCUUAGAAGCAGCCAUCAUUUAAAGAAAGCGUAAUAGCUCACUGGUCGAGUCGGCCCGCGCGGAAGAUGUAACGGGGCUAAACCAUGCACCGAAGCUGCGGCAGCAAUACUGUGUAUUGUUGGGUAGGGGAGCGUUCUGUAAGCCUGCGAAGGUGUACUGUGAGGUAUGCUGGAGGUAUCAGAAGUGCGAAUGCUGACAUAAGUAACGAUAAUGCGGGUGAAAAACCCGCACGCCGGAAGACCAAGGGUUCCUGUCCAACGUUAAUCGGGGCAGGGUGAGUCGACCCCUAAGGCGAGGCUGAAAAGCGUAGUCGAUGGGAAACGGGUUAAUAUUCCCGUACUGGUGGUAACUGCGAUGGGGGAACGGAGAAGGCUAGGUUGUCCGGGCGACGGUCGUCCCGGUUCAAGCAUGUAGGCAGAGUGAUUAGGCAAAUCCGGUCACUUAAUGCUGAGGUGUGAUGACGAGCCACUAAGGUGGUGAAGCAAUUGAUGCCCUGCUUCCAGGAAAAGCCUCUAAGCUUCAGGUUACCAACAAUCGUACCCCAAACCGACACAGGUGGUCAGGUAGAGAAUACUCAGGCGCUUGAGAGAACUCGGGUGAAGGAACUAGGCAAAAUGGUGCCGUAACUUCGGGAGAAGGCACGCUGGCGGUAAGUGAAGUCCCUUGCGGACGGAGCCGAAGCCAGUCGAAGAUACCAGCUGGCUGCAACUGUUUAUUAAAAACACAGCACUGUGCAAACACGAAAGUGGACGUAUACGGUGUGACGCCUGCCCGGUGCUGGAAGGUUAAUUGAUGGGGUUAUCCUUAGGGAGAAGCUCUUGAUCGAAGCCCCAGUAAACGGCGGCCGUAACUAUAACGGUCCUAAGGUAGCGAAAUUCCUUGUCGGGUAAGUUCCGACCUGCACGAAUGGCGUAAUGAUGGCCAGGCUGUCUCCACCCGAGACUCAGUGAAAUUGAACUCGCUGUGAAGAUGCAGUGUACCCGCGGCAAGACGGAAAGACCCCGUGAACCUUUACUAUAGCUUGACACUGAACAUUGAGCCUUGAUGUGUAGGAUAGGUGGGAGACUAUGAAGUGUGGACGCCAGUCUGCAUGGAGUCAACCUUGAAAUACCACCCUUUAACGUUUGAUGUUCUAACCUAGGCCCAUAAUCUGGGUCGGGGACCGUGUCUGGUGGGUAGUUUGACUGGGGCGGUCUCCUCCUAAAGAGUAACGGAGGAGCACGAAGGUUGGCUAAGCAUGGUCGGACAUCAUGCGGUUAGUGCAAAGGCAUAAGCCAGCUUGACUGUGAGAGUGACGGCUCGAGCAGGUACGAAAGUAGGUCUUAGUGAUCCGGUGGUUCUGAAUGGAAGGGCCAUCGCUCAACGGAUAAAAGGUACUCCGGGGAUAACAGGCUGAUACCGCCCAAGAGUUCAUAUCGACGGCGGUGUUUGGCACCUCGAUGUCGGCUCAUCACAUCCUGGGGCUGAAGUAGGUCCCAAGGGUAUGGCUGUUCGCCAUUUAAAGUGGUACGCGAGCUGGGUUUAGAACGUCGUGAGACAGUUCGGUCCCUAUCUGCCGUGGGCGUUGGAAGAUUGAGAGGGGUUGCUCCUAGUACGAGAGGACCGGAGUGAACGCACCACUGGUGUUCGGGUUGUCAUGCCAAUGGCAUUGCCCGGUAGCUAAGUGCGGAAGAGAUAACCGCUGAAAGCAUCUAAGCGGGAAACUUGCCUCAAGAUGAGUCUUCCCUGUCACCUUGAGUGACCUAAAGGAACGUUUAAGACUAAGACGUUGAUAGGCUGGGUGUGUAAGCGUAGCGAUACGUUGAGCUAACCAGUACUAAUGAACCGUGAGGCUUAACCUG
Molecule: ribosomal RNA, 2901 nt
Filed under: Proteus penneri
Lineage: Bacteria; Pseudomonadati; Pseudomonadota; Gammaproteobacteria; Enterobacterales; Morganellaceae
Description: bacterial LSU rRNA
Rfam family: Bacterial large subunit ribosomal RNA
Source: RNAcentral